Molecule: unclassified non-coding RNA, 433 nt
Filed under: soil metagenome
Description: partial contains 5.8S ribosomal RNA, internal transcribed spacer 2, and large subunit ribosomal RNA
Rfam family: 5.8S ribosomal RNA (bases 1-120)
Source: RNAcentral
GAUGAAGAACGCAGCGAAAUGCGAUACGUAAUGUGAAUUGCAGAAUUCAGUGAAUCAUCGAAUCUUUGAACGCAUAUUGCGCUCUCUGGUAUUCCGGAGAGCAUGCUUGUUUGAGUAUCAGUAAACACCUCAACUUCCAUAUCUUUUUUGAAAUGGGAGUUGGACUUGAGUGAUCCCAACGCUUUUCCUCACCGAAAAGUGGCGGGUUACUUGAAAUGCAGGUGCAGCUGGACUUUUCUCUGAGCUAUACGCAUAUCUAUUUAGUCUGCCUAAAAAACAGAUUAUUACCUUUGCUGCAGCUAACAUAAAGGAGAUUAGUUCUUGUGCUGACUGAUGCAGGAUUCACAAAGACAGGCUUCGGCCGACUUUGUAAACUCGAUCUCAAAUCAAGUAAGACUACCCGCUGAACUUAAGCAUAUCAAUAAGCGGAGGA